Molecule: long non-coding RNA, 994 nt
Organism: Homo sapiens (human)
Lineage: Eukaryota; Metazoa; Chordata; Mammalia; Primates; Hominidae
Gene: MMADHC-DT
Product: MMADHC divergent transcript
Source: Ensembl
CUCGGACCAGAUCCGGGAGGGGAAUGGGGGCUGGGUGGCCAAAAUUCAGUCCAGAGGAUCGAAGCGGCUGCUUUAACAGAAGUUGGGGCUGCGUAACAACAGCUCCAAGCAAAGCUUCAGGCUGAUCGGAAAGAUGAGGAAGCAGAAAAGAGACUAAAGACAGACGGACAGGAUGGCUGGGGACAACGACAGGGACCCAGUGAAAAUACGGGCAAUACCGAGGGCUGUAACCCUAACACGGGCAAAUUUGGAGGGGCUAACAUGGGCGGAAACCAUCCGUACCAGUCACCACCACUGUCUCCAGCUGUCCCAGAACCGGACUCUUCCUGCCAUCAAAAUGGCGGCGGCGACGGCAGCGGUGGUAGCACCUACGCUGGCGGUGAGCAGGCAAAGGAAGUUGCUUCCGAGCGCGUCGAAACGAUGAUGCGCACGCGCAAAGUAGGCCUACGUGGAGCCGACCUGCCAUUGGGUAAACGCAAGGGAGGAGAAAAGGGAACCUGAUGGAAUAAACUGCUGUGAGAGGGAGUAUUGAAAGAGCCAUUUCCUCAUCAUAAAGAUGCAGUAGCCAUAAUUAUUCCAAUCAUCCAAAAGAGAAGACUUUAAAGUACAGUAGUUAGCCAUCAAAAAGAGAAGGCUAAUAUCCAGUUAUGAGAGCAUUUUCCCAAGAUACUUCUCCCCUGGACCUUGUUCCCAGGCUCCGUGUGAAGCUGAACACUCCGCAUGAUCUCCCUGCCACCAUAGCAAGCUAUGAAGUUCAUUACACAUGCAGGUAGCAGACAAUACAGCUCUGCUUCCAUUUCUGAGCACCUACGGUAGACUGCCAUUAUUCAGUGUGCCAGCCUGUUUCCAAGCCUACAAUGUAUAGUUCCUCUAGUACGUAAACUCAUUUUUUUUCUCAGAGAGCCAAGUAGAGACACAGGCAGUUUUCUUCUCAAAAUGUGCCAGAAAUUCCAAAACAAUCUCAAAGCAUUAAAGGCUAUGUGCACAAAGUACA